GUGGGGAAUCUUGCGCAAUGGGCGAAAGCCUGACGCAGCCAUGCCGCGUGAAUGAUGAAGGUCUUAGGAUUGUAAAAUUCUUUCACCGAUGAAGAUAAUGACGGUAGUCGGAGAAGAAGCCCCGGCUAACUUCGUGCCAGCAGCCGCGGUAAUACGAAGGGGGCUAGCGUUGCUCGGAAUUACUGGGCGUAAAGGGAGCGUAGGCGGAUAGUUUAGUCAGAGGUGAAAGCCCAGGGCUCAACCUUGGAAUUGCCUUUGAUACUGGCUAUCUUGAGUAUGGAAGAGGUAUGUGGAACUCCGAGUGUAGAGGUGAAAUUCGUAGAUAUUCGGAAGAACACCAGUGGCGAAGGCGACAUACUGGUCCAUUACUGACGCUGAGGCUCGAAAGCGUGGGGAGCAAACAGGAUUAGAAACCCGUGUAGUCC
RNAcentral lists this ribosomal RNA (425 nucleotides) under uncultured bacterium. RNAcentral's name for it is "partial 16S ribosomal RNA". It matches the Rfam family "Bacterial small subunit ribosomal RNA", at positions 354 to 796 of the family's 1533-position model. The record is from RNAcentral.